CACGAGGACACGGCUGGCGGCGUGGAUUAGGCAUGCAAGUCGAACGGUAGGAUACCUUCGGGUAUCUGAGAGUGGCGAACGGGUGAGUAACACGUAGGUGAUCUACCCUCAAGAUUGGGACAACCCAGGGAAACUUGGGCUAAUACCGGAUGAAAGCAGCAGUGAUGUUGUUUGAAAGGUGGCGUAAGCUGCCGUUUGGGGAUGAGCCUGCGCUCUAUUAGUUAGUUGGCGGGGUAAAGGCCCACCAAGGCGAUGAUAGAUAGGCGGCCUUAACGGGUGGUCGCCCACACUGGGAUUGAGAUACGGCCCAGACUCCCACGGGAGGCAGCAGUCGAGAAUAGUCUACAAUGGCCGAAAGGCUGAUAGUGCGACGCCGCGUGAACGAAGAAGCCCUUCGGGGUGUAAAGUUCUUUUAUAUGUGAGCAGUGCUUUCUAUGUGAACAGCAUGGGGAGAGAGAUAUUAGCAUAUGAAUAAGCAACGGCUAACUCCGUG
RNAcentral lists this ribosomal RNA (493 nucleotides) under uncultured bacterium. RNAcentral describes it as "bacterial SSU rRNA". It matches the Rfam family "Bacterial small subunit ribosomal RNA", at positions 35 to 507 of the family's 1533-position model. The record is from RNAcentral.